UACGUAGGGUGCAAGCGUUAUUCGGAAUAACUGGGCGUAAAGGGCGUGUAGGCGGCUCGAGAAGUCUGGCGUUAAAUCUCUCGGCUCAACCGAGAGCUCGCGUUGGAAACCAUCGAGCUUGAGUAUUGCAGGGGUGGGUGGAAUUCCCGGUGUAGCAGUGAAAUGCGUUGAUAUCGGGAGGAACACCAAUGGCGAAGGCAGCCCACUAGGCAAUUACUGACGCUGAGGCGCGAAAGCGUGGGGAGCGAACAGG
This 253-nucleotide ribosomal RNA is filed under the name uncultured bacterium. Its description in RNAcentral is "partial 16S ribosomal RNA". It matches the Rfam family "Bacterial small subunit ribosomal RNA", at positions 524 to 776 of the family's 1533-position model. The record is from RNAcentral.